RNAcentral lists this ribosomal RNA (497 nucleotides) under uncultured bacterium. RNAcentral's name for it is "partial 16S ribosomal RNA". It matches the Rfam family "Bacterial small subunit ribosomal RNA", at positions 28 to 507 of the family's 1533-position model. The record is from RNAcentral.
GAUGAACGCUGGCGGCGUGCCUAAUACAUGCAAGUCGAGCGAACGGACGAGAAUCUUGCUUCUCUUAUGUUAGCGGCGGACGGGUGAGUAACACGUGUAUAACCGACCUAUAAGACUGGGAUAACUUCGGGAAACCGGAUCUAAUACCGGAUAAUAUUUUGAACCGCAGGGUUCAAAAGUGAAAGACGGUCUUGCUGUCACUUAUAGAUGUAUCCGCGCUGCAUUAGCUAGUUGGUAAGGUAACGGCUUACCAAGGCAACGAUGCAUAGCCGACCUGAGAGGGUGAUCGGCCACACUGGAACUGAGACACGGUCCAGACUCCUACGGGAGGCAGCAGUAGGGAAUAUUCGGCAAUGGGCGAAAGCCUGACGGAGCCAUGCCGCGUGAGUGAUGAAGGUCUUCGGAUCGUAAAACUCUGUUAUUAGGGAAGAACAUAUGUGUAAGUAAAUGUGCCCAUCUUGACGGUACCUACUCAGAAAGCCACGGCUAACUACGUG